RNAcentral lists this transfer RNA (72 nucleotides) under Camelus bactrianus (Bactrian camel). It matches the Rfam family "tRNA". From Rfam's summary of the family: Transfer RNA (tRNA) molecules are approximately 80 nucleotides in length. Their secondary structure includes four short double-helical elements and three loops (D, anti-codon, and T loops). Further hydrogen bonds mediate the characteristic L-shaped molecular structure. tRNAs have two regions of fundamental functional importance: the anti-codon, which is responsible for specific mRNA codon recognition, and the 3' end, to which the tRNAs corresponding amino acid is attached (by aminoacyl-tRNA synthetases). tRNAs cope with the degeneracy of the genetic code in two manners: having more than one tRNA (with a specific anti-codon) for a particular amino acid; and 'wobble' base-pairing, i.e. permitting non-standard base-pairing at the 3rd anti-codon position. Lineage: Eukaryota; Metazoa; Chordata; Mammalia; Artiodactyla; Camelidae. RNAcentral also lists the same sequence under 2 other names. The record is from Rfam by way of RNAcentral.
AAGGGUAUAGCUCAGUGGUAGAGUGCAUGCUUAGCAUGCAUGAGGUCCUGGGUUCAAUCCCUAGUACCUUCA